This 465-nucleotide ribosomal RNA is filed under the name Vreelandella stevensii. RNAcentral's name for it is "partial 16S ribosomal RNA". It matches the Rfam family "Bacterial small subunit ribosomal RNA", at positions 338 to 795 of the family's 1533-position model. Lineage: Bacteria; Pseudomonadati; Pseudomonadota; Gammaproteobacteria; Oceanospirillales; Halomonadaceae. The record is from RNAcentral.
CCUACGGGGCGCAGCAGUGGGGAAUAUUGGACAAUGGGCGAAAGCCUGAUCCAGCCAUGCCGCGUGUGUGAAGAAGGCCUUCGGGUUGUAAAGCACUUUCAGUGGGGAAGAAAGCCUUGGGGCUAAUACCCUCGAGGAAGGACAUCACCCACAGAAGAAGCACCGGCUAACUCCGUGCCAGCAGCCGCGGUAAUACGGAGGGUGCGAGCGUUAAUCGGAAUUACUGGGCGUAAAGCGCGCGUAGGCGGUCUGAUAAGCCGGUUGUGAAAGCCCCGGGCUCAACCUGGGAACGGCAUCCGGAACUGUCAGGCUAGAGUGCAGGAGAGGAAGGUAGAAUUCCAGGUGUAGCGGUGAAAUGCGUAGAGAUCGGGAGGAAUACCAGUGGCGAAGGCGGCCUUCUGGACUGACACUGACGCUGAGGUGCGAAAGCGUGGGUAGCAAACAGGAUUAGAUACCCCGGUAGUC